GGGGAUGAAAGGAUUUCGACAGGGUUGGCGAGCCUUGAUCAGCGAGUAGCGGAGUUGCACCGCUUAAAAAGUAACAACUUAAAAAUUAACUGAUAAUAAUAAAUCAGUAGCUCUUGCUGCGUAAUUAGCAGCUUGCGUUCUGCCGAAGAGUGCCACGGCUUCGGACAGGGCGUCGACUUAGUGGCGAACAUGAACAGGAGAGUGUCUCGGCUCUUGUCAGGUAUCAGAGAAUACCGUAGCGCAUAGGCUGA
Molecule: transfer-messenger RNA, 251 nt
Filed under: Clostridiales bacterium
Lineage: Bacteria; Bacillati; Bacillota; Clostridia; Eubacteriales
Description: partial transfer-messenger RNA
Rfam family: transfer-messenger RNA
About the family: Bacterial tmRNA, also known as 10Sa RNA or SsrA, is named for its dual tRNA and mRNA-like properties. Its role is to liberate the mRNA from a stalled ribosome.
Source: RNAcentral